GGUGAGUAACACGUGGGCAACCUGCCCUGCAGACUGGGAUAACUUCGGGAAACCGGAGCUAAUACCGGAUAACACCGAAAACCGCAUGGUUUUCGGUUGAAAGGCGGCUUUUAGCUAUCACUUACAGAUGGGCCCGCGGCGCAUUANCUAGUUGGUGGGGUAAAGGCCUACCAAGGCAACGAUGCGUAGCCGACCUGAGAGGGUGAUCGGCCACACUGGGACUGANACACGGCCCAGACUCCUACGGGAGGCAGCAGUAGGGAAUCUUCCGCAAUGGACGAAAGUCUGACGGAGCAACGCCGCGUGAGUGAAGAAGGUCUUCGGAUCGUAAAGCUCUGUUGUUAGGGAAGAACAAGUACCGGAGUAACUGUCGGUACCUUGACGGUACCUAACCAGAAAGCCACGGCUAACUACGUGCCAGCAGCCGCGGUAAUACGUAGGUGGCAAGCGUUGUCCGGAAUUAUUGGGCGUAAAGCGCGCGCAGGCGGUUCCUUAAGUCUGAUGUGAAAUCUCGCGGCUCAACCGCGAGCGGCCAUUGNAAACUGGGGAACUUGAGUGCAGGAGAGGGGAGCGGAAUUCCACGUGUAGCGGUGAAAUGCGUAGGGAUGUGGANGAACACCAGUGGCGAAGGCGGCUCUNUGGCCUGUAACUGACGCUGANGCGCGAAAGCGUGGGGAGCGAACAGGAUUAGAUACCCUGGUAGUCCACGCC
RNAcentral lists this ribosomal RNA (711 nucleotides) under uncultured bacterium. RNAcentral describes it as "bacterial SSU rRNA". It matches the Rfam family "Bacterial small subunit ribosomal RNA", at positions 105 to 801 of the family's 1533-position model. The record is from RNAcentral.